Molecule: long non-coding RNA, 1312 nt
Organism: Misgurnus anguillicaudatus (oriental weatherfish)
Lineage: Eukaryota; Metazoa; Chordata; Actinopteri; Cypriniformes; Cobitidae
Source: RefSeq, a predicted model, not a curated record
UAAUUUUCCGUGAUUUCUCUCUCGCAAACCCACAGCCAUGAAUUUUUGUUUAUAAAAAGAUCAUAAGAAGCGUGUUCUGUCAUGCUGGUGAAUGAUCGCAGCUUCUGCGCAGAUAGUGGUCCUCUUUAGACAUUUAUGGACGUGUUCGUGUUCACACAGAAUCCUCUCUGCAAAUUUAACGGAAAUGUUCUGGGACCAAAGUGCUGUGUGAAUGGGUCACAGAGUCUAAACACAUAAUGAAGACCAUGGUCCUUAUUUCUCACUUUGGUGUGGCAUUCUGUUAGCUUGUCUUUUUAGAAACUACCAGUAUGUUUGCUGACCAUGUAAGGAUAAUAAAGAAAUAUGAACUUGUAGAGGGUGUAGAUUUGGUUGGUUUACCCCUCUAAUUAACCUCUUGUGGUGAAAGUAUUCAGCAGUUAUCUGAUUAAUUAAUUCUGAGAGUUUUCCUUAUUCCAAACAAUCAAGGCUUGUUUGUUGAAGUUUGCAGUGCACCCUUGAGUGAGCACAGGCUUUGAAACACACAAUAUAAGCACCUGUGGAUCCACAAAUUGUGUGCUGAGUGUUGAUUACAUGCCACGUAAUUACUGUAUGCAGGAUGGGAGAAGAUAAUCUGCAGUUGACCUUUAAAGACAUUAUGAGCAGAAGUGAUUAUGCUCAUAAAGAACGGCGACUAACAGAUGCUGCAUACAGGAGCAGACAAACACUACAACAAAAUAAACAGCUUGGAAGGUAGGCUGAGAGCCAAAACACGGUACAGGAUGUUCUCACAUCACCCAAGACUUCAUAACAGAAAGAAGAAUAAAACGACGCAGAAUCGUGCCAGCUCAAAGUCCUGGAAAAGUGUGUUAAAUGUGCUUUCGGCGUCUCGGUUCACCUCGAGUCCAAGCACUUCACUUCUGUUUCUCUCAUUCCCUCUGACUUCUCACGGUAGACUGACAGAAGGAGACGGCCCUCUCUGUUAGCCCUUUCUAAACACCUCAGUGCACUUAAGAAAAACAAACAGUAUGCCAGAUGCAUCCAUCUCACAGAGCCUGAUACAUGGGGAUGUCCACACUAUCUCACCACAUUUUGGGAUUCUGCCUUAAUGAAGAACUUUAUGGAAAACCACACUAAAUCAAAAGGGGUUAUGUAGAUCCAGAGACUGGGGUCACGGUCAUUCAUAAUACACGUUUAAUCUGUUUUCAGAGUGCCUAACAAGCAUCUUUUAAUAAUUCCAGUUGUAAUACCAGCUGACCAGCAAGAUUUUUCCACUGCUUUUAAAUCACUGCACUUGUCAUUUAUGUUCCUGUACUAUUCCAUUUUCUAUAUAUUU